UCGUCAUCGUAGGGUUAGUCGGGUCCUAAGUCGAGUCCGAAAGGGGUAGACGAUGGCAAAUUGGUUAAUAUUCCAAUACCAACAUUAGUGUGCGAUGGAAGGACGCUUAGGGCUAAGGGGGCUAGCGGAUGGAAGUGCUAGUCUAAGGUCGUAGGAGGUUAUACAGGCAAAUCCGUAUAACAAUACUCCGAGAACUGAAAGGCUUUUUGAAGUCUUCGGAUGGAUAGAAGAACCCCUGAUGCCGUCGAGCCAAGAAAAGUUUCUAAGUUUAGCUAAUGUUGCCCGUACCGUAAACCGACACAGGUGGGUGGGAUGAGUAUUCUAAGGCGCGUGGAAGAACUCUCUUUAAGGAACUCUGCAAAAUAGCACCGUAUCUUCGGUAUAAGGUGUGGUUAGCUUUGUAUUAGGAUUUACUCCGAAAGCAAGGAAACUUACAACAAAGAGUCCCUCCCGACUGUUUACCAAAAACACAGCACUCUGCUAACUCGUAAGAGGAUGUAUAGGGUGUGACGCCUGCCCGGUGCUCGAAGGUUAAUUGAUGGGGUUAGCAUUAGCGAAGCUCUUGAUCGAAGCCCGAGUAAACGGCGGCCGUAACUAUAACGGUCCUAAGGUAGCGAAAUUCCUUGUCGGUUAAAUACCGACCUGCAUGAAUGGCGUAACGAGAUGGGAGCUGUCUCAAAGAGGGAUCCAGUGAAAUUGUAGUGGAGGUGAAAAUUCCUCCUACCCGCGGCAAGACGGAAAGACCCCGUGGACCUUUACUACAGCUUGACACUGCUACUUGGAUAAGAAUGUGCAGGAUAGGUGGGAGGCUUUGAGUAUAUGACGCCAGUUGUAUAUGAGCCAUUGUUGAGAUACCACUCUUUCUUAUUUGGGUAGCUAACCAGCUUGAGUUAUCCUCAAGUGGGACAAUGUCUGGUGGGUAGUUUGACUGGGGCGGUCGCCUCCCAAAUAAUAACGGAGGCUUACAAAGGUUGGCUCAGAACGGUUGGAAAUCGUUCGUAGAGUAUAAAGGUAUAAGCCAGCUUAACUGCAAGACAUACAAGUCAAGCAGAGACGAAAGUCGGUCUUAGUGAUCCGGUGGUUCUGUGUGGAAGGGCCAUCGCUCAAAGGAUAAAAGGUACCCCGGGGAUAACAGGCUGAUCUCCCCCAAGAGCUCACAUCGACGGGGAGGUUUGGCACCUCGAUGUCGGCUCAUCGCAUCCUGGGGCUGGAGCAGGUCCCAAGGGUAUGGCUGUUCGCCAUUUAAAGCGGUACGCGAGCUGGGUUCAGAACGUCGUGAGACAGUUCGGUCCCUAUCUGCCGUGGGCGUAAGAAGAUUGAAGAGAUUUGACCCUAGUACGAGAGGACCGGGUUGAACAAACCACUGGUGUAGCUGUUGUUCUGCCAAGAGCAUCGCAGCGUAGCUAAGUUUGGAAAGGAUAAACGCUGAAAGCAUCUAAGCGUGAAGCCAACUCUAAGAUGAAUCUUCUCUAAGCUCUCUAGAAGACUACUAGUUUGAUAGGCUGGGUGUGUAAUGGAUGAAAGUCCUUUAGCUGACCAGUACUAAUAGAGCGUUUGGCUUAUCUUUAAUAAAGCAU
Molecule: ribosomal RNA, 1577 nt
Filed under: Campylobacter jejuni
Lineage: Bacteria; Pseudomonadati; Campylobacterota; Epsilonproteobacteria; Campylobacterales; Campylobacteraceae
Description: partial 23S ribosomal RNA
Rfam family: Bacterial large subunit ribosomal RNA
Source: RNAcentral